UACAGAGGGGGCAAGCGUUAUUCGGAAUUAUUGGGCGUAAAGGGCGCGUAGGCGGCUUUUCAAGUGACGGGUGAAAUCCCUCGGCUUAACCGAGGAACUGCCUGUCAGACUGGAAGGCUUGAGACCGGGAGAGGUGAGUGGAAUUCCCAGUGUAGCGGUGAAAUGCGUAGAUAUUGGGAGGAACACCAGUGGCGAAGGCGGCUCUCUGGGACGGUACUGACGCUGAGACGCGAAAGCGUGGGGAGCGAACAGG
This 253-nucleotide ribosomal RNA is filed under the name uncultured bacterium. RNAcentral's name for it is "partial 16S ribosomal RNA". It matches the Rfam family "Bacterial small subunit ribosomal RNA", at positions 524 to 776 of the family's 1533-position model. The record is from RNAcentral.